RNAcentral lists this ribosomal RNA (556 nucleotides) under uncultured fungus. RNAcentral describes it as "eukaryotic LSU rRNA". The stretch from base 194 to 347 matches the Rfam family "5.8S ribosomal RNA". Lineage: Eukaryota; Fungi. The record is from RNAcentral.
AGUCGUAACAAGGUCUCCGUUGGUGAACCAGCGGAGGGAUCAUUACCGAGUUUACAACUCCCAAACCCCUGUGAACAUACCACUUGUUGCCUCGGCGGAUCAGCCCGCUCCCGGUAAAACGGGACGGCCCGCCAGAGGACCCCUAAACUCUGUUUCUAUAUGUAACUUCUGAGUAAAACCAUAAAUAAAUCAAAACUUUCAACAACGGAUCUCUUGGUUCUGGCAUCGAUGAAGAACGCAGCAAAAUGCGAUAAGUAAUGUGAAUUGCAGAAUUCAGUGAAUCAUCGAAUCUUUGAACGCACAUUGCGCCCGCCAGUAUUCUGGCGGGCAUGCCUGUUCGAGCGUCAUUUCAACCCUCAAGCACAGCUUGGUGUUGGGACUCGCGUUAAUUCGCGUUCCCCAAAUUGAUUGGCGGUCACGUCGAGCUUCCAUAGCGUAGUAGUAAAACCCUCGUUACUGGUAAUCGUCGCGGCCACGCCGUUAAACCCCAACUUCUGAAUGUUGACCUCGGAUCAGGUAGGAAUACCCGCUGAACUUAAGCAUAUCAAUAAAGUCG